Molecule: transfer RNA, 69 nt
Filed under: Elateroidea sp. 6 KM-2017
Lineage: Eukaryota; Metazoa; Arthropoda; Insecta; Coleoptera
Description: tRNA-Gln
Source: RNAcentral
UAUAUUUUAGUAUAAGAUGUAUAAAAGUGUCUGAUACUUUGGGUGACAGUUUGACUCUGUCGGAUAUAA